Non-coding RNA from Podarcis lilfordi (Lilford's wall lizard), 80 nucleotides. Lineage: Eukaryota; Metazoa; Chordata; Lepidosauria; Squamata; Lacertidae. The record is from the annotation of a GenBank genome assembly.
GGCUUCAGAUCGCUCAGUUAGUAAAGCAUGGGAUUCUUAAUCUUGGGGUCAUGGGUUCAAGUUCCAGGGUUCAAGGCCCA